This 200-nucleotide ribosomal RNA is filed under the name uncultured bacterium. Its description in RNAcentral is "partial 16S ribosomal RNA". It matches the Rfam family "Bacterial small subunit ribosomal RNA", at positions 8 to 228 of the family's 1533-position model. The record is from RNAcentral.
AGAGUUUGAUCAUGGCUCAGGAUAAACGCUGGCGGCGUGCCUAACACAUGCAAGUCGAACGCCCUACGCAAGUAGGGAGUGGCGGACGGGUGAGGAACACGUGAGUACCUACCCUUCAGUGAGGAAUACCGGCGAGAAAUCGCCGACAAGACCGCAUACGUUUCGAAAGAAAGAAAGCCCGCAAGGGCGCUGGAGGAUGG